AGAGUUUGAUCCUGGCUCAGGAUGAACGCUGGCGGCGUGCCUAACACAUGCAAGUCGAGCGAUUCACUUCGGUGAAGAGCGGCGGACGGGUGAGUAACGCGUGGGUAACCUGCCUCAUACACAUGGAUAACAUACCGAAAGGUAUGCUAAUACAAGAUGAUAUAAGAGAUUCGCAUGGAUUUCUUAUCAAAGCUCCGGCGGUAUGAGAUGGACCCGCGUCUGAUUAGCUAGUUGGUAAGGUAACGGCUUACCAAGGCGACGAUCAGUAGCCGACCUGAGAGGGUGAUCGGCCACAUUGGAACUGAGACACGGUCCAAACUCCUACGGGAGGCAGCAGUGGGGAAUAUUGCACAAUGGGCGAAAGCCUGAUGCAGCAACGCCGCGUGGGCGAUGAAGGCCUUCGGGUCGUAAAGCUCUGUCCUCAAGGAAGAUAAUGACGGUACUUGAGGAGGAAGCCCCGGCUAACUACGUGCCAGCAGCCGCGGUAAUACGUAGGGGGCUAGCGUUAUCCGGAUUUACUGGGCGUAAAGGGUGCGUAGGUGGUUUCUUAAGUCAGGAGUGAAAGGCUACGGCUUAACCGUAGUAAGCUCUUGAAACUGGGAAACUUGAGUGCAGGAGAGGAAAGUGGAAUUCCUAGUGUAGCGGUGAAAUGCGUAGAUAUUAGGAGGAACACCAGUAGCGAAGGCGGCUUUCUGGACUGUAACUGACACUGAGGCACGAAAGCGUGGGGAGCAAACAGGAUUAGAUACCCUGGUAGUCCACGCCGUAAACGAUGAGUACUAGGUGUCGGGGGUUACCCCCCUCGGUGCCGCAGCUAACGCAUUAAGUACUCCGCCUGGGGAGUACGCUCGCAAGAGUGAAACUCAAAGGAAUUGACGG
Molecule: ribosomal RNA, 879 nt
Filed under: uncultured bacterium
Lineage: Bacteria
Description: bacterial SSU rRNA
Rfam family: Bacterial small subunit ribosomal RNA
Source: RNAcentral